AGUGAACGCUGGCGGUAGGCCUAACACAUGCAAGUCGAACGGCAGCACAGUAAGAGCUUGCUCUUACGGGUGGCGAGUGGCGGACGGGUGAGGAAUACAUCGGAAUCUACUUUUUCGUGGGGGAUAACGUAGGGAAACUUACGCUAAUACCGCAUACGACCUACGGGUGAAAGCAGGGGAUCUUCGGACCUUGCGCGAUUGAAUGAGCCGAUGUGGGAUUAGCUGGUUGGCGGGGUAAAGGCCCACCAAGGCGAGGAUCCGUAGCUGGUCUGGGAGGAUGGUCAGCGACACUGGAAGUGAGACACGGUCAUGACUCCUGAGGGACGCAGCAGUGGGCAACAGUGGACAGUGGGCGCAAGUAUGAUACAGUGAGCGCGCGUGGGAGAAGAAGGCGUCCCGGUCGUAAUGACGUUCUUUGGGGAAAGAAAAGCAGCAGGUUAAGACCCAGCUGUUCUGACGGUACUGAAUGAAGAAGCACCGGCUAACUACGUG
This 492-nucleotide ribosomal RNA is filed under the name uncultured bacterium. RNAcentral describes it as "partial 16S ribosomal RNA". It matches the Rfam family "Bacterial small subunit ribosomal RNA", at positions 30 to 507 of the family's 1533-position model. The record is from RNAcentral.